UGCCAGCAGCCGCGGUAAUACGGGGGGUCCGAGCGUUAAUCGGAAUUACUGGGCGUAAAGGGUCUGUAGGUGGUUUGUUAAGUCAGAUGUGAAAGCCCAGGGCUCAACCUUGGAACUGCAUUUGAUACUGGCAAACUAGAGUAUAGUAGAGGAAUGGGGAAUUUCUGGUGUAGCGGUGAAACGCGUAGAUAUCGGAAGGAACACCAGUGGCGAAGGCGACUUCCUGGGCCAAUACUGACGCUGAGGUGCGAAAGCGUGGGGAGCAAACAGGAUUAGAUA
This 279-nucleotide ribosomal RNA is filed under the name uncultured bacterium. Its description in RNAcentral is "partial 16S ribosomal RNA". It matches the Rfam family "Bacterial small subunit ribosomal RNA", at positions 506 to 784 of the family's 1533-position model. The record is from RNAcentral.